RNAcentral lists this long non-coding RNA (407 nucleotides) under Lupinus angustifolius (narrow-leaved blue lupine). Its description in RNAcentral is "long non-coding RNA (LANG_LNC002754)". The record is from RNAcentral. Lineage: Eukaryota; Viridiplantae; Streptophyta; Magnoliopsida; Fabales; Fabaceae.
AAAUGUGGAACAUAUAACUUGAGUUCUACACCAAGGUAAAACAAUUUCAUUUUAUAUAUUAUAUAGAAUAAUUUAUACUUUUUUAUUACCUUUCUUAUUUUUUAUAUGGAUUAUUUGUUAAGGUCCAAAUUGGACAUUAAAGUCAUUCAUGAGAAUGGAAGUGGAAGGGUUGUGUUUUGGGAUCGUCAAUGUGCUGAUAUUAUUGGAGCAUCUGCAUUCGAUCUUAGAAAUCGGAUGGUCGCAGUACGGAUUUUUCCAGUUAUACAUUAUAUAGAUUGAAAUCACAUUGGUACAUCAUUUUUUAUAUUACAACAAUUUAUAUUUUUCCAUGUUUAUAUAUGAAGGAAGGUGAGGAUGAUCCAAAGACAUUCCCUCUAAUGCUUGACAUGUUGCUUGCAAGGACAAUG